RNAcentral lists this ribosomal RNA (506 nucleotides) under uncultured bacterium. RNAcentral describes it as "partial 16S ribosomal RNA". It matches the Rfam family "Bacterial small subunit ribosomal RNA", at positions 29 to 523 of the family's 1533-position model. The record is from RNAcentral.
AGUGAACGCUGGCGGUAGGCCUAACACACGCAAGUCGAACGGCAGCACAGGAGAGCUUGCUCUCUGGGUGGCGAGUGGCGGACGGGUGAGGAAUACAUGGGAAUCUACUCUGUCGUGGGGGAUAACGGAGGGAAACUUACGCUAAUACCGCAUACGACCUACGGGUGAAAGCAGGGGACCCGCGGGCCUUGCGCGAUUGAAUGAGCCGAUGUCGGAUUAGCUAGUUGGCGGGGUAAAGGCCCACCAAGGCGACGAUCCGUAGCUGGUCUGAGAGGAUGAUCAGCCACACUGGAACUGAGACACGGUCCAGACUCCUACGGGAGGCAGCAGUGGGGAAUAUUGGACAAUGGGCGCAAGCCUGAUCCAGCCAUACCGCGUGGGUGAAGAAGGCCUUCGGGUCGUAAAGCCCUUUUGUUGGGAAAGAAAUCCAGCUGGCUAAUACCCGGUUGGGAUGACGGUACCCAAAGAAUAAGCACCGGCUAACUUCGUGCCAGCCGCCGCCGUAA